This is a long non-coding RNA of Camelus dromedarius (Arabian camel), 599 nucleotides long. RefSeq lists it as uncharacterized. The record is from RefSeq and is a predicted model, not a curated record. NCBI's taxonomy places the organism in Eukaryota, Metazoa, Chordata, Mammalia, Artiodactyla, Camelidae. The transcript is spliced from 3 exons.
UCCCGGCAGCCCUCUGGCUUCUACAUUCCAUGACAGUGAAUUUUCUGGGAGAGAUUGCACAGAUCUCCUCUGCCUUCGAAGGUCUGCUUUACACUACUCCACUUCUAUGAAAGAUCCGCCUUAGUACCCAUUUCCGGGAACCAAAAGAAAUCCGAAGAGGAUCUUUGUUUUUACAGAAAAAGAGGUGAAAAGUGAAAAUGCCAUUCGAUGUGCAUCUUGCAGAGCUGCCAGAGGCGGCACGCCCAGGGCAGUGAGAGCUGCACCCCAGCACCAUCCCCAGAAACCACACUCAGCGUCUCAGCAUCCAGGCCCUCGUCGCUGCCAGAGCUGAGAACCAGGUCUGUCAGCCUCUGUGCUUCGUCCCGAGGUGUUUUGUGCAGGAUGUGUCCUAAGGACCAAACAGCUGGACCAAAGGAAGGAGGCCCAUCAGAGCAUGGCAAGAUGCAACUGCCAUCCGUGAAGACCUGCCUGGCUGGAGCCUCUGUGCCACGCCGUGCUCAAGGCUGCAGGCUCAGACCAUGAUCCCACCUCUAACCAGCUAUGUAGUCUUCACAAGUCACUCAGCCCCUCUGUAAAGGGGAGAGAAUACAGCACAAUAA